GCAUAACGCGAAGAACCUUACCAGGCCUUGACAUCCAAUGAACUUUCUAGAGAUAGAUUGGUGCCUUCGGGAACAUUGAGACAGGUGCUGCAUGGCUGUCGUCAGCUCGCGUCGUGAGAUGUUGGGUUAAGUCCCGCAACGAGCGCAACCCUCGUCACUAGUUACUAACGGUUCGGCCGAGGACUCUAGUGAGACUGCCUUCGUAAGGAGGAGGAAGGUGAGGACGACGUCAAGUCAUCAUGGCCCUUACGGCCAGGGCGACACACGUGCUACAAUGGGAUGUACAAUGAGACGCAAUACCGCGAGGUGGAGCAAAUCUAUAAAACAUCUCUCAGUUCGGAUUGUAGUCUGCAACUCGACUACAUGAAGCUGGAAUCACUAGUAAUCGUAGAUCAGCCAUGCUACGGUGAAUACGUUCCCGGGUCUUGUACACACCG
RNAcentral lists this ribosomal RNA (437 nucleotides) under uncultured bacterium. RNAcentral's name for it is "bacterial SSU rRNA". It matches the Rfam family "Bacterial small subunit ribosomal RNA", at positions 954 to 1392 of the family's 1533-position model. The record is from RNAcentral.